Molecule: microRNA precursor, 73 nt
Filed under: Myotis davidii
Lineage: Eukaryota; Metazoa; Chordata; Mammalia; Chiroptera; Vespertilionidae
Description: mir-9193 microRNA precursor family
Rfam family: mir-9193 microRNA precursor family
Source: Rfam by way of RNAcentral
CUCGGGGGGCGUGACCCCUCAGGCCAGAUUGCGAGAGGGUGCAGGCCAGGCCGAGGGACCCCACCGGUGCACG